AGUGAACGCUGGCGGUAGGCCUAACACAUGCCAGUCGAACGGCAGCACAGUAAGAGCUUGCUCUUACGGGUGGCGAGUGGCGGACGGGUGAGGAAUACAUCGGAAUCUACUUUUUCGUGGGGGAUAACGUAGGGAAACUUACGCUAAUACCGCAUACGACCUACGGGUGAAAGCAUGGGAUCUUCGGACCUUGCGCGAUUGAAUGAGCCGAUGUCGGAUUAGCUAGUUGGCGGGGUAAAGGCCCACCAAGGCGACGAUCCGUAGCUGGUCUGAGAGGAUGAUCAGCCACACUGGAACUGAGACACGGUCCAGACUCCUACGGGAGGCAGCAGUGGGGAAUAUUGGACAAUGGGCGCAAGCCUGAUCCAGCCAUACCGCGUGGGUGAAGAAGGCCUUCGGGUUGUAAAGACCUUUUGUUGGGAAAGAAAAGCAGCAGGUUAAUACCCCGCUGUUCUGACGGUACCCAAAGAAUAAGCACCGGCUAACUUCGUG
This 492-nucleotide ribosomal RNA is filed under the name uncultured bacterium. Its description in RNAcentral is "partial 16S ribosomal RNA". It matches the Rfam family "Bacterial small subunit ribosomal RNA", at positions 29 to 507 of the family's 1533-position model. The record is from RNAcentral.